This 670-nucleotide ribosomal RNA is filed under the name Acinetobacter sp. RNAcentral describes it as "bacterial SSU rRNA". It matches the Rfam family "Bacterial small subunit ribosomal RNA", at positions 54 to 719 of the family's 1533-position model. The record is from RNAcentral. Lineage: Bacteria; Pseudomonadati; Pseudomonadota; Gammaproteobacteria; Moraxellales; Moraxellaceae.
CAUGCAGUCGAGCGGAGAUGAGGUGCUUGCACCUUAUCUUAGCGGCGGACGGGUGAGUAAUGCUUAGGAAUCUGCCUAUUAGUGGGGGACAACAUUCCGAAAGGAAUGCUAAUACCGCAUACGCCCUACGGGGGAAAGCAGGGGAUCUUCGGACCUUGCGCUAAUAGAUGAGCCUAAGUCGGAUUAGCUAGUUGGUGGGGUAAAGGCCUACCAAGGCGACGAUCUGUAGCGGGUCUGAGAGGAUGAUCCGCCACACUGGGACUGAGACACGGCCCAGACUCCUACGGGAGGCAGCAGUGGGGAAUAUUGGACAAUGGGCGGAAGCCUGAUCCAGCCAUGCCGCGUGUGUGAAGAAGGCCUUUUGGUUGUAAAGCACUUUAAGCGAGGAGGAGGCUACUUAGAUUAAUACUCUAGGAUAGUGGACGUUACUCGCAGAAUAAGCACCGGCUAACUCUGUGCCAGCAGCCGCGGUAAUACAGAGGGUGCGAGCGUUAAUCGGAUUUACUGGGCGUAAAGCGUGCGUAGGCGGCUGAUUAAGUCGGAUGUGAAAUCCCUGAGCUUAACUUAGGAAUUGCAUUCGAUACUGGUCAGCUAGAGUAUGGGAGAGGAUGGUAGAAUUCCAGGUGUAGCGGUGAAAUGCGUAGAGAUCUGGAGGAAUACCGAUGGCGAA